CAGUCGCCGCGGUAAUACAGAGGGUGCGAGCGUUAAUCGGAUUUACUGGGCGUAAAGCGCACGUAGGCGGCUUUGUAAGUCAGAGGUGAAAGCCCGGGGCUCAACCCCGGAAUUGCCUUUGAGACUGCAUCGCUUGAAUCCAGGAGAGGUGAGUGGAAUUCCGAGUGUAGAGGUGAAAUUCGUAGAUAUUCGGAAGAACACCAGUGGCGAAGGCGGCUCACUGGACUGGUAUUGACGCUGAGGUGCGAAAGCGUGGGGAGCAAACAGGAUUAGAUACCCCCGUAGUCCCUGUCUCUUAUAC
Molecule: ribosomal RNA, 301 nt
Filed under: uncultured bacterium
Lineage: Bacteria
Description: partial 16S ribosomal RNA
Rfam family: Bacterial small subunit ribosomal RNA
Source: RNAcentral